RNAcentral lists this long non-coding RNA (204 nucleotides) under Capsicum annuum. Its description in RNAcentral is "long non-coding RNA (CANN_LNC012702)". The record is from RNAcentral. Lineage: Eukaryota; Viridiplantae; Streptophyta; Magnoliopsida; Solanales; Solanaceae.
CGCCCUGGACUAUUGCUAUGGAAAUAAGGAAAAUUAGGCUAAUAAUGAAGUGGGGGUAGAACAUAUAUUAAGAAAAGGGAAUAAAGUGGUUGAUUUUUUGGCUAACUUCAUUUUUAAUUUUGCAGGUACAGUAAUCUCACAAUACAAUGCAAUUCAAGAAGCUCCUGAACAAGCAAAAUCAAUAAUACUAUUGGAAAGGAAUAA